CCAUCCCUCUGAGAGGUGGAAAAGGGGUCCUGGGCCCGGCAGCCAUGGCCAUCCCUUCAUUUCCCUCCUUGUGCAGGGGGAGCGAGGCGUCCCAGGCCGAAAAGGUGUGAAGGGCCAGAAGGGCGAGCCGGGACCGCCGGGCCUGGACCAGCCAUGUCCUGUGGGCCCCGAUGGGCUGCCCGUGCCUGGCUGCUGGCAUCAGUGACCCCUGCACCCAGCUCACAGCCUGUACAGAUGCGUGUGGACGUUUUUAAUUUUUGUAAAAAAACAAAAACAAAAAACAG
Molecule: long non-coding RNA, 284 nt
Filed under: Ursus maritimus (polar bear)
Lineage: Eukaryota; Metazoa; Chordata; Mammalia; Carnivora; Ursidae
Description: lncRNA (ENSUMAG00000023921.1)
Source: RNAcentral